RNAcentral lists this ribosomal RNA (497 nucleotides) under uncultured bacterium. RNAcentral describes it as "partial 16S ribosomal RNA". It matches the Rfam family "Bacterial small subunit ribosomal RNA", at positions 28 to 507 of the family's 1533-position model. The record is from RNAcentral.
GAUGAACGCUGGCGGCGUGCCUAAUACAUGCAAGUCGAGCGAACAGACGAGGAGCUUGCUCCUCUGACGUUAGCGGCGGACGGGUGAGUAACACGUGGAUAACCUACCUAUAAGACUGGGAUAACUUCGGGAAACCGGAGCUAAUACCGGAUAAUAUAUUGAACCGCAUGGUUCAAUAGUGAAAGAGGGUUUUGCUGUCACUUAUAGAUGGAUCCGCGCCGCAUUAGCUAGUUGGUAAGGUAACGGCUUACCAAGGCAACGAUGCGUAGCCGACCUGAGAGGGUGAGCGGCCACACUGGAACUGAGACACGGUCCAGACUCCUACGGUAGGCAGCAGUAGGGAAUCUUCCGCAAUGGGCGAAAGCCUGACGGAGCAACGCCGCGUGAGUUAUGAAGGUCUUCGGAUCGUAAAUCUCUGUUAUUAGGGAAGAACAAAUGUGUAAGUAACUAUGCACGUCUUGACGGUACCUAAUCAGAAAGCCACGGCUAACUACGUG